This 615-nucleotide ribosomal RNA is filed under the name Hanseniaspora uvarum. RNAcentral describes it as "eukaryotic LSU rRNA". It matches the Rfam family "Eukaryotic large subunit ribosomal RNA", at positions 38 to 667 of the family's 3401-position model. Lineage: Eukaryota; Fungi; Ascomycota; Saccharomycetes; Saccharomycodales; Saccharomycodaceae. The record is from RNAcentral.
GCAUAUCAAUAAGCGGAGGAAAAGAAACAAAGGGGGCAUUACCUUAGUACGGCGAGUGAAGCGGUAAAAGCUCAAAUUUGAAAUCUGGUACUUUCAGUGCCCGAGUUGUAAUUUGUAGAAUUUGUCUUUGAUUAGGUCCUUGUCUAUGUUCCUUGGAACAGGACGUCAUAGAGGGUGAGAAUCCCGUUUGGCGAGGAUACCUUUUCUCUGUAAGACUUUUUCGAAGAGUCGAGUUGUUUGGGAAUGCAGCUCAAAGUGGGUGGUAAAUUCCAUCUAAAGCUAAAUAUUGGCGAGAGACCGAUAGCGAACAAGUACAGUGAUGGAAAGAUGAAAAGAACUUUGAAAAGAGAGUGAAAAAGUACGUGAAAUUGUUGAAAGGGAAGGGCAUUUGAUCAGACAUGGUGUUUUUUGCAUGCACUCGCCUCUCGUGGGCUUGGGCCUCUCAAAAAUUUCACUGGGCCAACAUCAAUUCUGGCAGCAGGAUAAAUCAUUAAGAAUGUAGCUACUUCGGUAGUGUUAUAGCUUUUUGGAAUACUGUUAGCCGGGAUUGAGGACUGCGCUUCGGCAAGGAUGUUGGCAUAAUGGUUAAAUGCCGCCCGUCUUGAAACACGGACC